Long non-coding RNA from Symphalangus syndactylus (siamang), 3247 nucleotides. RefSeq lists it as uncharacterized. The record is from RefSeq and is a predicted model, not a curated record. NCBI's taxonomy places the organism in Eukaryota, Metazoa, Chordata, Mammalia, Primates, Hylobatidae.
GAUUCCAGUGCUAAAUGCGGAAAUACGGCUUGGCUGAGUGCCGCGUUCGGCAGGGCCAGCUCACAGGAACAGCCGGGCUGCCAGGCCAUGACCCAGGGCCUGGGAACACAGUGAGGCCUGGCCAUGCUGCGAGGCCUCUGAGGGGCGGACUGCUCAGGAGGCCAACGACCUUCCCAAGGGCGGGCAGUCAGGGAAGGGCCAGCAGCAUGCCCGCUGUGUCCUCACGCGGGCCCUCCCUCCCUGGGACCCUCCCAGUGCCAGCCUCCCGCCUGGGCCAGGCUGGGAGCUCCCUGACCGCUCAGGUCCCUGGGCUGCUCCCGCAAGCCUGACUCUGACGGUGUCUGCUGCACAUCAUCCGCGGAGUCCCCAUUUCACAGCCAGGAAACAGAGGACGGGGGAAGUCAACUGGAGGUCACGUGGUGGCGAGUGACGGAGUUGGUGUUGCAGGCAACCACUGGACAGAGCCACAGCCACACUCUCCCCAGCACACCCCACUGCCCCUGUGCUGGGGGACUGCUCCCCAUUUCACAGAUGGGGAAACCAAGGCUGGUGGGAGGAGCAGCAGGAGUACAUCCGUGGACUGUAAGUCAGCACCCGGCCUGCACACGCAGCCCCAAUCCCCGUAGUGAGGUUUGCCUCCCCGGCAUGAACCAGGAACGUCCAGCCUUAUCGGGAGGCUGGCACCAAAAUCCAUUCUAUGUGGGUGAAGGCACCUAUAGGGAGCAUGCAUGGGCCAUGGGAGGUGUGCCCUCACCAGCCUGAGAAUCACGGAGGGCUUCCUGACCGCUAACCUGAGUCCUGAAGGGCAAAGAGCAGAGAUAAAGCAGGGCUGUGGCGUGAGGAGAAGCGUGCACAGCAUCCACAGUUGCAGCAAAUGAGAGCAAAAUGGACGGCCGUUCGAAAUCGUUGAGCUUUUAAGAGAAGUCCCCUCAGAGCUCUGGGGAAGGGCGGCAAGCUCUGGGUGAUGGAAGCUGGCCGGGGGAGAAGGGCUCCAUGGAGCGCUGGCCUGUAUGCGUCCGUGGGGAGCUAACUGGAAAAUGAAGCUUCCACAAGGACAUGCGGCUGGCUUUUAGAAUGGGCUUGAAACCAAAAGACACAGGCAAGAUGCCCUCCAUAGGGAGAAGCUGGGAAAUAAUUGUCGGAGAAGGUCAAAGGUGCUGGCGCUAUUGUCCUGGGACGCCUCCUGGCUCUGCUGACCUUGGCUCUGCUGACCUUGGCUCUGCCGACCUUGGCUUAGCCAAGCUCAAGGUCUUGAGGCCUUCCUGGUGCUGAGUUGGUGUAGGAUGGGCCUCAGACCUGGUACAUCUGCUUCUCUCACUUCUGGCUUUGUCUCCACCUCCACCACUCCUGAUUGUCCGAGGGAGUAACAAGAAACUCACACACACAGACAUGUACAUGUGUGCACACGAAUAGCACACACACCCAUAUGCAUAUACAGAGACAUGCACAGGUGCUCACUCACAUAUACAUGCAACACACAUGGGUGCAUUCAUGCGUGCACACACAGGCAUGCGUGUACACAGACGUGUGCAAGCACACACGCGUAUUUGUACAUGCGUAUACACAUGCGCUAACACAGGUGCCACACACGUACACAUGUGCACACACAUGCCUGCUCACAUGUACGUGUAUGCACACACAUGCAGACACAAGCACACGCCCUUGUGCACACAGGUAUGGCAGGCCCCAGGUGGCAGGCAGGCUUCACCAGGGACUUGGUGUGGAGCUGGCGGCUCCCACCCCUGCCUUUCUCUGCUGAGCAAGGAGGUGGAGCCGUGACCUUGGGGAACUCCCAACUCCCAUCCGUGGGCGGCACACAGACCCUGGCUGAAAGUCGGACAGAUUUGCUCACUCUGGUUUCCGGGAUUCCAAGGGGAGACUGCAGGGACCUCCCAGCGACGUGAGAGGACACAACCCUGACAGACGCACCAGUCCUCUUUCUGUCAACCAGUGGAAUCCAAGAAAAAGCAGCCCCUCGCCGGCCGUGUGCCCACGGCUGGCUUAGGCCACCUUCCUGCCCUCCUGUCCCUCGCUCCAGGGUGUGCCAGGCGUGUUCUGAGUGUGGGUGCAGGCAGCACCGGGCUCGAGAAGGAGUGAUGUACAGAUGGACAGCUGUCCUGCCUACUGGCCUAAGCGGUCAGUCCCUCAGCUACAUGGGCCAGGGCCGUGGGAGGCUCCAGAAACAUGGCCACUGCCCACAGCACCGGCAUUUGCAGUAGGUGUGUGGAAGCAGCUGCAGGCCAGAGGCAGGAGCCAGGGAAACGUGGCGCCCCAGGCCGUCUCGUCCCCUCUGGGCCUCCAUCUCCCCAGCUGCGCCGUGGCUUGAUGGACCAGGACAUCUCCCUGGGGGUGGCAGCCAUGUUGCCCUCUGCCAGAAGCAUCCUGUGAGCCCCAGGGCACAGGCCGGCUUCCCCUCCAGGGCUGUACAUUUGCCUUUCAGGAGCCAGAGUUGAGCAGCUCCUGGCUGGGUGUUGGGAACCCUGCCCCAGGCCCAUGGACAGACAGCACAGUCAGCCUCUUGGAAGUCUCAGAAAAUGUAUUACCCAUCACAGGGAUGGUUUCCUGUCUCUGCAGAUACUUCACUCUCCCCUCCCCCGACUCCUCCUCCUGGGCCACUUCCCGGAAGCGCUCAUCCCCAUGCCCACAUGAACACAAACCUCCACCCAGCACUGACCAAGAGCCAGGCCCUACCCCAGGACCUCACAGAUGUCACCUUAGCGGUCCUUUCAGCAACCGAAUGAGGUAGGACUAUCAUUAUCCCCUCUUCACAGAUGGGGAAACUGAGGCAUGGAGCUGUGAAGUGACUUGCCCAAGGCCCCACCGGCAGCCAGUGGCAGAGCCAGGUGCCCCCCAAGAUGUUCACGCCCUAAUCCUCAGGAUCUGCAAACUUGUCACCUUUCAUGGCAAAAGGUCUUUGCAAAUGUGAUGAAACAUCUUAAGAUGGCAAGAUUCUCUUAGGUGACCUUAGGUCCAAGGUAAGCCCAAGAGUCUUUAUGAAAGGAAGAAGGUAUUUGUUGAUGUCUCUUUCAUUCCUGGUGAUCACUCGAUGAAUACAGAGUUGGCCAGAUUUCUCCACUGAAAAGUUACUGUGUUUCCUUUUGUCAUUAACGAGUAUCUUUUUGGGCGAUACUUUGAAACUUUGUAAAUAUCGUAUUACUCAAAUUUUCACCCACUAAUUUUAGCAUCCUUAGAUGACUCCGCCUGGAUCGGUUAUUAUUAUAAUGGUUAUUAAAUGGUGAUUCCAUCA